CCGAAGUAUUAAGACACUCUAAAGCGCUUU
RNAcentral lists this non-coding RNA (30 nucleotides) under Mus musculus (house mouse). Lineage: Eukaryota; Metazoa; Chordata; Mammalia; Rodentia; Muridae. The record is from RNAcentral.